This 87-nucleotide transfer RNA is filed under the name Bacteroidetes bacterium GWA2_32_17. Its description in RNAcentral is "tRNA-Leu". It matches the Rfam family "tRNA". From Rfam's summary of the family: Transfer RNA (tRNA) molecules are approximately 80 nucleotides in length. Their secondary structure includes four short double-helical elements and three loops (D, anti-codon, and T loops). Further hydrogen bonds mediate the characteristic L-shaped molecular structure. tRNAs have two regions of fundamental functional importance: the anti-codon, which is responsible for specific mRNA codon recognition, and the 3' end, to which the tRNAs corresponding amino acid is attached (by aminoacyl-tRNA synthetases). tRNAs cope with the degeneracy of the genetic code in two manners: having more than one tRNA (with a specific anti-codon) for a particular amino acid; and 'wobble' base-pairing, i.e. permitting non-standard base-pairing at the 3rd anti-codon position. Lineage: Bacteria; Pseudomonadati; Bacteroidota. The record is from RNAcentral.
GCCCGGAUGGCGGAAUUGGUAGACGCGCUGGUCUCAAACACCAGUGAGGUCAUACUCGUGCCGGUUCGACCCCGGCUCCGGGUACAA